GAUGAACGCUAGCGGCAGGCCUAACACAUGCAAGUCGAGGGGCAGCACAGAAACAGCAAUGUUUUGGUGGCGACCGGCGGACGGGUGCGUAACGCGUAUGCAACCUACCUUUAACAGGGGGAUAACGGAGAGAAAUUUCCACUAAUACCCCAUAACAUCGAUCAAGGCAUCUUGAUUGGUUGAAAACUCCGGGGGUUAAAGAUGGGCAUGCGUUGUAUUAGAUAGUUGGUGAGGUAAUGGCUCACCAAGCCUAAGAUACAUAGGGGGACUGAGGGGUUAGCCCCCCACACUGGUACUGAGACACGGACCAGACUCCUACGGGAGGCAGCAGUGAGGAAUAUUGGUCAAUGGGGGCAACCCUGAACCAGCCAUGCCGCGUGCAGGAAGACGGCUCUAUGAGUUGUAAACUGCUUUUAAACAGGGAUAAAGCACAGUAUGUAUACUGUGUUGAAGGUACUGUAAGAAUAAGGAUCGGCUAACUCCGUGCCAGCCGCCGCGGUAA
RNAcentral lists this ribosomal RNA (502 nucleotides) under uncultured bacterium. RNAcentral's name for it is "partial 16S ribosomal RNA". It matches the Rfam family "Bacterial small subunit ribosomal RNA", at positions 28 to 523 of the family's 1533-position model. The record is from RNAcentral.